This 515-nucleotide ribosomal RNA is filed under the name uncultured bacterium. Its description in RNAcentral is "partial 16S ribosomal RNA". It matches the Rfam family "Bacterial small subunit ribosomal RNA", at positions 28 to 523 of the family's 1533-position model. The record is from RNAcentral.
GAUGAACGCUGGCGGCGUGCCCAAUACAUGCAAGUCGAGCGAAUGGAUUAAGAGCUUGCUCUUAUGAAGUUAGCGGCGGACGGGUGAGUAACACGUGGGUAACCUGCCCAUAAGACUGGGAUAACUCCGGGAAACCGGGGCUAAUACCGGAUAAUAUUUUGAACUGCAUGGUUCAAAAUUGAAAGGCGGCUUCGGCUGUCACUUAUGGAUGGACCCGCGUCGCAUUAGCUAGUUGGUGAGGUAACGGCUCACCAAGGCAACGAUGCGUAGCCGACCUGAGAGGGGGAUCGGCCACACUGGGACUGAGACACGGCCCAGACUCCUACGGGAGGCAGCAGUAGGGAAUCUUCCGCAAUGGACGAAAGUCUGACGGAGCAACGCCGCGUGAGUGAUGGAGGCUUUCGGGUCGUAAAACUCUGUUGUUAGGGAAGAACAAGUGCUAGUUGAAUAAGCUGGCACCUUGACGGUACCUAACCAGAAAGCCACGGCUAACUACGUGCCAGCCGCCGCGGUAA